GACGAACGCUGGCGGCGUGCUUAACACAUGCAAGUCGAACGGAAAGGCCCCCUUGUGGGGUACUCGAGUGGCGAACGGGUGAGUAACACGUGAGUAACCUACCCUUGACUUUGGGAUAACUUCAGGAAACUGGGGCUAAUACCGGAUAGGAGCUCCUGCUGCAUGGUGGGGGUUGGAAAGUUUCGGCGGUUGGGGAUGGACUCGCGGCUUAUCAGCUUGUUGGUGGGGUAGUGGCUCACAAAGGCUUUGACGGGUAGCCGGCCUGGGAGGGUGACCGGCCCCAUGGGACUACGGGUGGGGCCAGGACGCCAUCGGGGGCAAUGGGGGGGAAAUUUACCCAGUGGGGCGGAGGCCGUAGGGAGCACCGCCGGGUCGGGAAGGCCGGCUUUCGGGUUGGAAACGCCUUUGGCUGGUAACGAGGCGUGGUGACGGUAACUGGUUAAAAAGCAACGGCUAACUUCGUG
This 464-nucleotide ribosomal RNA is filed under the name uncultured bacterium. RNAcentral describes it as "partial 16S ribosomal RNA". It matches the Rfam family "Bacterial small subunit ribosomal RNA", at positions 28 to 507 of the family's 1533-position model. The record is from RNAcentral.